CUGUAGAGCUGGGUGCAAUCACAAUGUUUAAAAGAUAUUUGAACCGGAGCAUGGAAGGGAAAGGUUUAUUGGCCAGACAUGGGCAAAUGAGACCAGCUCAGACAACUUGAUCAACAUGGCUAGUUGUGCCUGUUUCUGUGCUGUAUAAUGUCAUGACUCAAUGAGUAAAGUUUAAAGGGGACACCAGAGAUUGCCAAUGCUGGAAACUUGAGUACUGUACGGUUACUCUUACUAACUCUUCCUUCAGUUAGUCCUGACAAAGGGUCUCGGCCUAAAACGUCGACUGUACCUCUUCCUAGAGAUGCUGCCUGGCCUGCUGCGUUCACCAGCAACUUUGAUGUGUGGUACUGUACAGUUUGUUGGAGGAACUCUGCGUGUUGAGCAGUGUCUGGGGAAAUGUAACAGAAACAUAGAAAAUCUACAACACAUUACAGGCACUUCGGCCCACAAUGUUGUGCCGACCAUGUAACCUACUCUAGAAGUAAUGGAAAAUAGAAAAGACUCUUGGAAUGACUGAAUUCCUUUACUUUGUGAACUGCCUCGGUGUGAUGGUCUUCCUACUCACUGUUCUCUAUCACUGGGUCGACAUUACAUACACGAGAACCACAGCCCUUACUGAAACUUUCUAUGACGCCAGGCCAACAAGAAGUUUUCACAGCCACUGCCGAAGGAGGGUGUAUACACGAGUUUCUGAAUCGGAAUGUGAACAAGUGUCCUGAUUGGUGAUUUUUGAGCCUUGCUUGAGAUAUCUGAAGUUACAGCAGAAAAAAACAGUAAUCUGCACGAACAACGCAGCGAUAGUUUACAGUGAGGACUGAUGACAGCCCUCACUGAUAAACAGGUGAAGUGUUGGGGAGCUGUUCUGUAAUACCACAGUCCAGAAACAGUAGCAUCAGAGUGCCAAGUUGGAUGUUAAGAACUUUGGAUUAUCCGAGCAUCAUAGAACGCCUUUCUCAUCCUUGAAAGCUGAAAACUGAAUUUGAUGCCAUGACCUUCUCAAAGCCAGUGAUUGAAGUGGUGAACCUUGGGCGGAUCUCUUAUGGUAAUGCAUUACAAGCUCAGCAGAAGUUCGUCCGGCGCCAUGUUGACGCCCUGACCCGUCUGCCCACCGAUGAGCCUCCGCUGAAUGCGCUGCUCCUGUGCGAGCAUCCUCCAGUGUAUACUAUCGGCAUACGGACAGCACCAUACCCGAUCGGGGAGGAAGAAAGGUUGAAAGAACUGGGUGCAGAAUUCUACCGGGCAAACCGAGGAGGGCUAAUCACCUUCCAUGGCCCCGGGCAGCUGGUGUGCUAUCCCAUCCUGAACCUGGCCCACUUCAAGAAGAGCGUGCGGUGGUAUGUGGGUGAACUGGAGAGAACCACUGUCCAACUCUGCUACAAGUUUGGUAUAAAAGCGGAGACCUCAUCUGAGACUGGAGUGUGGGUCGGAAACAACAAGAUCUGUGCCAUUGGUUCUUUGCAUCGUCCUGAGAGUUCAAACAAUAGCCUCGGCGAGACCUCUACAGCCAUGGAGAUUCAGUGUGGAAAUGGGUAUUUGUAAUCCUCCACCAUGUCCACACUGACCCCCUUGAUGGAUUGCAGAAGCAUUGAUGAAUUCCAACCAUGGCAUCAACUUCAGAGGACGACGGAGACGGGAGGUCAUCGAUGGUCUCUGCUGCACUGAGAGCCAAGGGCCCAAGUAAAAUGUUGUGUCAUGUAAUCAGGAUGGUGGAAUUGGGAGAAGGUUCUAGAGAACGCUGGGUGAAGAGUUUUCAUGAUGGACACUGAGGUGGGUUGAGCUUUACCGGCAGGAGAUGGUGAGACAAGAAGCUCAAGAGAACCGGCUACAGGAUUUGUUCCAACGAGGAUGUGUGAUUCAAUGGAGUCUUAAGAGGGCAAAUCCUACUGGUGAUCGGUGAAUAGGAGUUGUCGCCAUAACUACAAUGGACACAUCAGCUUUUGGAAGAUCUGAGCUCCAACUUGUGCACAUUUGACUGUUUUAAUUAUGAUGGGCCCUUUUGUUUUCUUUCUUCUCUAACAAUGGUUUGGUUAAGUUAGCAUUUAUAAAUAAACUUUAUAAUUGUAUGCAGUAUACGAUCUGUUAUUUCUUGCCAAUGGGCAAUUGCAUGAGGGUAGUAUUUACAGUAUUGACACAGAUCGGGAUUUGGGUGUGUUAGACAUCAGAACUUCCUGGUUUUGGUGGGACCCAAGUUUUAUUGAUCCUAGACAUAUGGAGUCUGAGAAAGGUGGUGUUUUCACUGCUGAGUCCGUUGGCUGUUAGCGAGGGGCUGACAAGCCACAUCUCUAGAGACAUCCAAUAAAAAGGAGUUUCAGUUACAAGAAACAUAAGGUUGUGAUAGGAGAUUUUAAAUUGCCAUGUAUUUACUGGAACUCCCAGACAGUAAAAGGGCUGGAUGGGAAAGAGUUUGUCAAAUGUGUUCAAGGAAGUUUCCUUACUCAGUACAUAAAUGUCCCAACGAGAGACAGUGUGAUGCUAGAUCCCCUAUUAUGGGUUGAGACGGCAGUUGACAGAGGUUUGUGUAGGGGAACACUUAGCAUGUAGUGAUGAUAAUGACAUUAGUUUCAAGGUAAUUAUCGAAAAGGGUUGAUUUGCUCCUCAGGUUGAGGUUCUAAAUUGGAGAAAGGCUGACUAUCAAAAAG
Mobula hypostoma (lesser devil ray) is the source of this 2639-nucleotide RNA transcript. It is a transcript of the gene named lipoyl(octanoyl) transferase 2, with no coding region annotated. NCBI's taxonomy places the organism in Eukaryota, Metazoa, Chordata, Chondrichthyes, Myliobatiformes, Myliobatidae. The record is from RefSeq and is a predicted model, not a curated record. The transcript has 6 exons.